Molecule: transfer RNA, 64 nt
Filed under: Diaphorina citri (Asian citrus psyllid)
Lineage: Eukaryota; Metazoa; Arthropoda; Insecta; Hemiptera; Psyllidae
Rfam family: tRNA
About the family: Transfer RNA (tRNA) molecules are approximately 80 nucleotides in length. Their secondary structure includes four short double-helical elements and three loops (D, anti-codon, and T loops).
Source: Rfam by way of RNAcentral
GCUUGGUUGGUAGUACAACUGCCUUGUAAGCACUAACCUGUGGGUUUGAUUCCCACACACAGCA